Molecule: ribosomal RNA, 468 nt
Filed under: uncultured bacterium
Lineage: Bacteria
Description: partial 16S ribosomal RNA
Rfam family: Bacterial small subunit ribosomal RNA
Source: RNAcentral
GACGAACGCUGGCGGCGUGCUUAACACAUGCAAGUCGAACGGAAAGGCCCUGCUUUUGUGGGGUGCUCGAGUGGCGAACGGGUGAGUAACACGUGAGUAACCUGCCCUUGACUUUGGGAUAACUUCAGGAAACUGGGGCUAAUACCGGAUAGGAGCUCCUGCUACAUGGUGGGGGUUGGAAAGUUUCGGCGGUUGGGGAUGGACUCGCGGCUUAUCAGCUUGUUGGUGGGGUAGUGGCUUACCAAGGUUUUGACGGGUAGCCGGCCUGAGAGGGUGACCGGCGACCUUGGGACUGCGGUACGCACCAGUCUCCUACGGGCGGCAGCAGUGGAGAGUAUUGCGCAAUGGGCCGGAGCCUGAUGCAGCAACGCCGCGUGCGGGAUGCCGGCCUUCGGGUUGUAAACCGCUUUCGCCUGUGACGAAGCGUGCGUGACGGUAAUGGGUAAGGAAGCACCGGCUAACUACGUG